Molecule: ribosomal RNA, 301 nt
Filed under: uncultured bacterium
Lineage: Bacteria
Description: partial 16S ribosomal RNA
Rfam family: Bacterial small subunit ribosomal RNA
Source: RNAcentral
CAGCAGCCGCGGUAAUACGUAGGGUGCGAGCGUUAAUCGGAAUUACUGGGCGUAAAGGGAGCGUAGGCGGAUCGUUAAGUUGGGGGUGAAAGCCCGGGGCUCAACCUCGGAUCUGCCUUCAAUACUGGCGAUCUUGAGUAUGAGAGAGGUGAGUGGAACUCCGAGUGUAGAGGUGAAAUUCGUAGAUAUUCGGAAGAACACCAGUGGCGAAGGCGACUCACUGGCUCAUUACUGACGCUGAGGCUCGAAAGCGUGGGGAGCAAACAGGAUUAGAUACCCCAGUAGUCCCUGUCUCUUAUAC